CCUACGGGAGGCAGCAGUGGGGAAUAUUGCGCAAUGGGCGAAAGUCUGACGCAGCGACGCCGCGUGAGGGACGAAGGCCUUCGGGUCGUAAACUUCUGUCAGCAGGGAAGAACGGUCACUGGGGUAACUAGCAGUGAAUUGACGGUACCUGGAAAGGAAGCACCGGCUAACUCCGUGCCAGCAGCCGCGGUAAUACGGAGGGGGCGAGCGUUGAUCGGAGUGACUGGGCGUAAAGCGCACGUAGGCGGUAUGUCAAGUCAAGGGUGAAAUCCCCGCGCUCAACGUGGGAACUGCCUUUGAAACUGGCAAACUGGAGUGUGUGAGAGGAUAGCGGAAUUCCAGGUGUAGCGGUGAAAUGCGUAGAUAUCAGGAGGAACACCAGUGGCGAAGGCGGCUAUCUGGCACAUAACUGACGCUGAGGUGCGAAAGCGUGGGUAGCAAACAGGAUUAGAUACCCUUGUAGUC
This 465-nucleotide ribosomal RNA is filed under the name uncultured bacterium. RNAcentral describes it as "partial 16S ribosomal RNA". It matches the Rfam family "Bacterial small subunit ribosomal RNA", at positions 338 to 795 of the family's 1533-position model. The record is from RNAcentral.